GGGCCGGUGGUCCAACCUGGCUAAAACACAACUGUGUGGCCAAGACGUCGCCUUCGCAAGGCGGAAAUCUGGGUUCAAAUCCCGGCCGGUCCA
RNAcentral lists this transfer RNA (93 nucleotides) under Chloroflexota bacterium. Its description in RNAcentral is "tRNA-Ala". It matches the Rfam family "tRNA". Rfam says of the family: Transfer RNA (tRNA) molecules are approximately 80 nucleotides in length. Their secondary structure includes four short double-helical elements and three loops (D, anti-codon, and T loops). Lineage: Bacteria; Bacillati; Chloroflexota. The record is from RNAcentral.